CUCGAACCGGUUACCUUCGCAGCCGGAUUUUGAGUCUUGAUAUUCCUGUUUUUGAUACUCUUUAUAUAUAUGAUCUUGCGUUAGCUUAUCCUUUGCUCGUUGUGUUAGUGAUCGGAGUGUUGCGCUUUCGAGUUGCGGUUUUUGUUUAUCCCUUUUUUCUACAAGGCUCCUAGUUAUAAUCAAUCAUUCAUACUACUAUACGUACUAAAUUUUUGUUUUAGAGGUCGUAAUACCUUGCCAUCUCUGAAUUAUGACUUAAGCAUAAGUCUCUGUAUGGUAGGGUGUUACA
This 289-nucleotide long non-coding RNA is filed under the name Arachis ipaensis. RNAcentral describes it as "long non-coding RNA (AIPA_LNC001037)". The record is from RNAcentral. Lineage: Eukaryota; Viridiplantae; Streptophyta; Magnoliopsida; Fabales; Fabaceae.